CGGGAUAUAGAGACCGGCGCACGGGUGCGUAACGCGUAUGCAAUCUGCCUUUUCAGAGGGAUAGCCCAGAGAAAUUUGGAUUAAUACCUCAUAGUAUAGUACAGCCGCAUGGGAACUAUUAAAGUCACAACGGUGAAAGAUGAGCAUGCGUCCCAUUAGCUGGUUGGUAAUAACGGCUUACCAAGGCAACGAUGGGUAGGGGUCCUGAGAGGGAGAUCCCCCACACUGACUGAGACACGGACCAGACUCCUACGGGAGGCAGCAGUGAGGAAUAUUGGACAAUGGGCAAGCCUGAUCCAGCCAUGCCGCGUGCAGGAUGACGGUCCUAUGGAUUGUAAACUGCUUGUACGAGAAGAAACACUCCUUCGUGAAGGAAUUUGACGGUAUCGUAAGAAUAAGGAUGCUAACUCCGUGCCAGCAGCCGCGGUAAUACGGAGGAUCCAAGCGUUAUCCGGAAUCAGGGUUUAAAGGGUCCGUAGGCGGUUUAGUAAGUCAGUGGUGAAAGCCCAUCGCUCAACUGGAACGGCCAUUGAUACUGCUGAACUUGAAUUAUUAGGAAGUAACUAGAAUAUGUAGUAGCGGUGAAAUGCUUAGAGAUUACAUGGAAUACCAAUUGCGAAGGCAGGUUACUACUUUGAUUGACGCUGAUGGACGAAAGCGUGGGGAGCGAACAGGAUUAGAUACCCUGGUAGCACGCCGUAAACGAUGGAUACUAGCUGUUGGGAGCAAUUUCAGUGGCUAAGCGAAAGU
RNAcentral lists this ribosomal RNA (750 nucleotides) under uncultured bacterium. RNAcentral describes it as "bacterial SSU rRNA". It matches the Rfam family "Bacterial small subunit ribosomal RNA", at positions 82 to 858 of the family's 1533-position model. The record is from RNAcentral.